Molecule: long non-coding RNA, 394 nt
Filed under: Elaeis guineensis (African oil palm)
Lineage: Eukaryota; Viridiplantae; Streptophyta; Magnoliopsida; Arecales; Arecaceae
Description: long non-coding RNA (EGUI_LNC082803)
Source: RNAcentral
GAGUUCAGGGUUAGUUCCCUUGCAAAGUGUGGGAAGAAGUGGACGGUGGAUCCGGUACAUAGAAAGUUGAGGGUGGGUGAGAAUCCUCGCCAACGGGACCACUUGUACAAAGGACAGAACACUUCGACUGGUGAUUUUAGGGGUCACGGUAGCUGGGGAAGUGCAUUGCUGUGAAGUCCAAAAUGGAUACUUCCAAACCAUCAGUCAAGCCAUUAAGAACGGUAGUAAACCAAGGUAUGAGUCUCUAAGUUAGCAAAGAUGCUGUUCCCCAUGACAUGGUGCUAUUAUUAUCAGCCAUAUUAGAAGGUACCCGGUUAGGUCACCCAGUUGCCCUCUUUGUAGGUUAUAAGGUACAGCUUGCAAUAGGUUUCUUUCAAGAGCCAAUUGAAAGGAC